This 491-nucleotide ribosomal RNA is filed under the name uncultured bacterium. Its description in RNAcentral is "partial 16S ribosomal RNA". It matches the Rfam family "Bacterial small subunit ribosomal RNA", at positions 29 to 506 of the family's 1533-position model. The record is from RNAcentral.
AGUGAACGCUGGCGGUAGGCCUAACACACGCAAGUCGAACGGCAGCACAGUAAGAGCUUGCUCUUACGGGUGGCGAGUGGCGGACGGGUGAGGAAUACAUCGGAAUCUACUUUUUCGUGGGGGAUAACGUAGGGAAACUUACGCUAAUACCGCAUACGACCUACGGGUGAAAGCAGGGGAUCUUCGGACCUUGCGCGAUUGAAUGAGCCGAUGUCGGAUUAGCUAGUUGGCGGGGUAAAGGCCCACCAAGGCGACGAUCCGUAGCUGGUCUGAGAGGAUGAUCAGCCACACUGGAACUGAGACACGGUCCAGACUCCUACGGGAGGCAGCAGUGGGGAAUAUUGGACAAUGGGCGCAAGCCUGAUCCAGCCAUACCGCGUGGGUGAAGAAGGCCUUCGGGUUGUAAAGCCCUUUUGUUGGGAAAGAAAAGCAGCAGGUUAAUACCCCGCUGUUCUGACGGUACCCAAAGAAUAAGCACCGGCUAACUUCGU